AAUAGAUACCCUGGUAGUCCAUGCCGUAAACGAUGUCUACUAGCCGUUGGGGCCUUUGAGGCUUUAGUGGCGCAGCUAACGCGAUAAGUAGACCGCCUGGGGAGUACGGUCGCAAGACUAAAACUCAAAUGAAUUGACGGGGGCCCGCACAAGCGGUGGAGCAUGUGGUUUAAUUCGAUGCAACGCGAAGAACCUUACCUGGUCUUGACAUAGUAAGAACUUUCCAGAGAUGGAUUGGUGCCUUCGGGAACUUACAUACAGGUGCUGCAUGGCUGUCGUCAGCUCGUGUCGUGAGAUGUUGGGUUAAGUCCCGCAACGAGCGCAACCCUUUUCCUUAUUUGCCAGCGGGUUAAGCCGGGAACUUUAAGGAUACUGCCAGUGACAAACUGGAGGAAGGCGGGGACGACGUCAAGUCAUCAUGGCCCUUACGACCAGGGCUACACACGUGCUACAAUGGUCGGUACAAAGGGUUGCUACCUAGCGAUAGGAUGCUAAUCUCAAAAAGCCGAUCGUAGUCCGGAUUGGAGUCUGCAACUCGACU
RNAcentral lists this ribosomal RNA (541 nucleotides) under uncultured bacterium. RNAcentral's name for it is "bacterial SSU rRNA". It matches the Rfam family "Bacterial small subunit ribosomal RNA", at positions 777 to 1317 of the family's 1533-position model. The record is from RNAcentral.